UUUUAAUAUAACUAAACAUUACUUGUCAGUCUCAAUUAAAUGAUGAAUUUUUAUGUCAUGCACCAAUCUGAAAGGUUUUGCUGAAUACUCACCUAUUUUUAUCUGAUAAUUCCUAUCUUGUUAAACUAGCAGUUUAACGUUGAACAAAAUAUUCAGUCUUGUUUCUAUCUUUCUAGGUUCUCAACUAUAACAAAAACUAAAGUGAUUCAAUCUAAGAAUCUGUCAACUGAAAUACUCACCUGGGCAUUUAGAUAGAUAGUCCAGUUGCCCAUGGAGGAUUGUGACAGGAUUUCCAUCUAAAAGGUACAAAUGUCACUGUGGGCAACAAAUUUUGUUUGAAAAUAAAUAUAAUUAUAUAAUA
Molecule: long non-coding RNA, 361 nt
Organism: Pieris rapae (cabbage white)
Lineage: Eukaryota; Metazoa; Arthropoda; Insecta; Lepidoptera; Pieridae
Exons: 3
Source: RefSeq, a predicted model, not a curated record